This 465-nucleotide ribosomal RNA is filed under the name Vreelandella stevensii. RNAcentral describes it as "partial 16S ribosomal RNA". It matches the Rfam family "Bacterial small subunit ribosomal RNA", at positions 338 to 795 of the family's 1533-position model. The record is from RNAcentral. Lineage: Bacteria; Pseudomonadati; Pseudomonadota; Gammaproteobacteria; Oceanospirillales; Halomonadaceae.
CCUACGGGCGGCAGCAGUGGGGAAUAUUGGACAAUGGGCGAAAGCCUGAUCCAGCCAUGCCGCGUGUGUGAAGAAGGCCUUCGGGUUGUAAAGCACUUUCAGUGGGGAAGAAAGCCUUGGGGCUAAUACCCUCGAGGAAGGACAUCACCCACAGAAGAAGCACCGGCUAACUCCGUGCCAGCAGCCGCGGUAAUACGGAGGGUGCGAGCGUUAAUCGGAAUUACUGGGCGUAAAGCGCGCGUAGGCGGUCUGAUAAGCCGGUUGUGAAAACCCCGGGCUCAACCUGGGAACGGCAUCCGGAACUGUCAGGCUAGAGUGCAGGAGAGGAAGGUAGAAUUCCCGGUGUAGCGGUGAAAUGCGUAGAGAUCGGGAGGAAUACCAGUGGCGAAGGCGGCCUUCUGGACUGACACUGACGCUGAGGUGCGAAAGCGUGGGUAGCAAACAGGAUUAGAUACCCCUGUAGUC